GACGAACGCUGGCGGCGUGCUUAACACAUGCAAGUCGAGCGGAAAGGCCCUUCGGGGUACUCGAGCGGCGAACGGGUGAGUAACACGUGAGUAAUCUGCCCUUGGCUUUGGGAUAACUACCGGAAACGGUGGCUAAUACCGGAUACGACGCACUCAGGCAUCUGAUGUGUGUGGAAAGUUUUUUCGGCCAGGGAUGUGCUCGCGGCCUAUCAGCUUGUUGGUGGGGUAAUGGCCUACCAAGGCUUCGACGGGUAGCCGGCCUGAGAGGGUGACCGGCCACACUGGGACUGAGACACGGCCCAGACUCCUACGGGAGCAGCAGUGGGGAAUAUUGGACAAUGGGCGGAAGCCUGAUCCAGCAACGCCGCGUGAGGGAUGACGGCC
This 384-nucleotide ribosomal RNA is filed under the name uncultured bacterium. Its description in RNAcentral is "bacterial SSU rRNA". It matches the Rfam family "Bacterial small subunit ribosomal RNA", at positions 28 to 416 of the family's 1533-position model. The record is from RNAcentral.